RNAcentral lists this ribosomal RNA (463 nucleotides) under Streptococcus sp. C78. RNAcentral's name for it is "bacterial SSU rRNA". It matches the Rfam family "Bacterial small subunit ribosomal RNA", at positions 67 to 515 of the family's 1533-position model. The record is from RNAcentral. Lineage: Bacteria; Bacillati; Bacillota; Bacilli; Lactobacillales; Streptococcaceae.
UGACUAGAGGAGCUUGCUCNUCUUGGAUGAUNUGCGAACGGGUGAGUAACGCGUAGGUAACCUGCCUGGUAGCGGGGGAUAACUAUUGGAAACGAUAGCUAAUACCGCAUAAAAUGGAUUAUCGCAUGAUAAUUCAUUGAAAGGUGCAAAUGCAUCACUACCAGAUGGACCUGCGUUGUAUUAGCUAGUUGGUGGGGUAACGGCUCACCAAGGCGACGAUACAUAGCCGACCUGAGAGGGUGAUCGGCCACACUGGGACUGAGACACGGCCCAGACUCCUACGGGAGGCAGCAGUAGGGAAUCUUCGGCAAUGGACGGAAGUCUGACCGAGCAACGCCGCGUGAGUGAAGAAGGUUUUCGGAUCGUAAAGCUCUGUUGUAAGAGAAGAACGAGUGUGAGAGUGGAAAGUUCACACUGUGACGGUAUCUUACCAGAAAGGGACGGCUAACUACGUGCCAGCAGC